CGUGUUGUGAGAUGUUGGGUUAAGUCCCGCAACGAGCGCAACCCUUGCCCUUAGUUGCCAUCAUUCAGUUGGGCACUCUAAGGGGACCGCCGGUGACAAACCGGAGGAAGGUGGGGAUGACGUCAAGUCAUCAUGCCCCUUAUGUCCAGGGCUUCACGCAUGCUACAAUGGCCGGUACAAAGGGCUGCGAUCCCGUAAGGGGGAGCGAAUCCCAAAAAGCCGGUCUCAGUUCGGAUUGGGGUCUGCAACUCGACCCCAUGAAGUCGGAGUCGCUAGUAAUCGCAGAUCAGCAACGC
RNAcentral lists this ribosomal RNA (296 nucleotides) under Ditylum brightwellii. RNAcentral describes it as "partial Bacterial small subunit ribosomal RNA". It matches the Rfam family "Bacterial small subunit ribosomal RNA", at positions 1061 to 1357 of the family's 1533-position model. The record is from RNAcentral. Lineage: Eukaryota; Bacillariophyta; Thalassiosirophyceae; Lithodesmiales; Lithodesmiaceae.